UCAUGAUCAUGAAUUAGUGAAAGGUCAUUUAAAUUUUAUAAUUAUUGGUUCUCCUUGGACUAUUCAAAUUUAGUGAUUAAACUAAUGGUUAGUUAUUUUGUGUGAUCAGGAAUGGUGGACGCUUAUGGGAACGAUAGCUUAUGGAACAGGAAAUGACUGCUGUGUGUGCAUUUGUGCUUGUGCUGAAGAGGCAUUUUUUGCUUUAUUAUUGACAACAGAAGAGGGGACAGUGAUGAGGUCAGUUACUGGCAGGGUUAAUGGGCCAGGUAACUGCCCUCUGGACUCCAAACACGUGGUUAUUGGUCAGACUCCUCUAAGGAUAUAAAUUGUGAAGACUUCAGUGUAGCUCUGUGUUCUGCACAACAACAACCACCUGGGAACUGCUGGAGGCUGUUCAGUUUUACAGAUAUAAUGAAGGGUACAUUCAGCGUGUCUGUCAGUCUGUUGCUGCUGUGUGUUUUGUGGGGUGACAGUCAGCCUGUACACACUGCUGCUCACACUGUCAGAGAGAUGAUAGAGCUCCUGAGAGCGAUGACUCCAGUCAAUGAGCAGGAGGAUCAGGACACAGAGCUGAUGGACUCUCCCGAGGUUCUGUGGCCUAAUACUGAGGAUCUGGAGAAAAGAGACCUGCCACGUCUAGGAGUAGCAAUACAUAGGGCUUUACCCUCAAGAGUCCACAGCAGGUAAUCAAAUAACCACUGACAUGCUGUUCUUAUAAAACAGCAGCACAUGAUUUUUUAAAGGCCAUUAAGGCUUCCCCCAAAAAAUCUUAAAUGAUCAAUUCUUAAAAGAACCAUUUUUUCUUAGUGUACACUACAUAAUAUUUUGGAACAAUUUUCCACUAAGAAAGAACCUUUUAUGCAAUGGAAAUGUUCCAUGUAUGUUAAAGGUUCUUAAUGGCACCAGAUGCCUUUAUUUGUAAGAAUGUACUUUGUGCCCUAUACAUGAGCAAAAACGUGUUUAUUUUUUAUAUAUAUAUUCUUUAUAUUUUAUAUAAAUAGAGUAAAAGUGACAAGUGGUGUUUAACACAUUAUAGCUUAACUGUGGCUUGUAUUUUUCUUUGUGUGUGUGUGUGUGUGUGUGUGUGUGUGUGUGUGUGUGUGUGUGUGUUCAGUAACUCAGAGCAUGCAUCUAGAUAUCGUUUGUCUUCUCCAGCUAAGUGGAUGUCCAGUCUCCAAGGUUGAAGAAUAGUAAUUGUUUGAUUCAUCUGUCUCAAAAAUGCUUGAAGGUUUACACACAACUCUCAUCCGCAUGAAGAACUCAUUGUUAGACAAUAAAUAAAAGGAGUUACAAAAUAUAUACA
Long non-coding RNA from Cyprinus carpio (common carp), 1303 nucleotides. The record is from Ensembl. Lineage: Eukaryota; Metazoa; Chordata; Actinopteri; Cypriniformes; Cyprinidae.